RNAcentral lists this long non-coding RNA (430 nucleotides) under Phasianus colchicus (ring-necked pheasant). RNAcentral's name for it is "lncRNA (ENSPCLG00000005782.1)". The record is from RNAcentral. Lineage: Eukaryota; Metazoa; Chordata; Aves; Galliformes; Phasianidae.
AUGCUAGACCAGGCUGCCCAGGGCCCCAUCCAACCUGGCCUUGAACACCUCCAGGGAUUGGGGCAUCCACAACCUCUCUGGAUCGUCUUUUAUGAAUACUGCACCGCUGUUUUAAGAAAAGACAAAUACAAGGAGGGAAAAAACAGAACCUCUGCGAUUCUUCUUUUUCCCUACGAAGUGUUAUGGGUGAAGGCUGUGGAGAAUCGUGGGUUUCCCCAGUUCAGACUUGAACCUCCCACCAAUUAUGUGACCUUCAGGCUAUGGGCCUCAGCAGCUCCAGUGUGGACAUAGAAGAAUCCUGAGCAGAGCCCACAGUGUGUACAAAUCAGCUGCAUGCUGUCCCAAACCCUUCUGCACACUGAGAUCAGGAGCAUCAUGGAGAUGUUGGCCACAAAAUAAACGGAGGAUGGAUGAGCUUGGAUAAGGAUAC